GACGAACGCUGGCGGCGUGCUUAACACAUGCAAGUCGAACGGAAAGGCCCUGCUUUUGUGGGGUGCUCGAGUGGCGAGCGGGGGAGUAACACGUGAGUAACCUGCCCUUGACUUUGGGAUAACUUCAGGAAACUGGGGCUAAUACCGGAUAGGAGCUCCUGCUGCAUGGGGGGGGUUGGAAAGUUUCGGCGGUUGGGGAUGGACUCGCGGCUUAUCAGCUUGUUUGUGGGGUAGUGGCUUACCAAGGCUUUGACGGGUAGGCUGCCUGAGAGGGUGAACGGCCACAUUGGGACUGAGGUACGGCCCAGAAUCCAACGGGAGGCAGCAGGCGGGAAUAUUGCACAAUGGGGGGAAGCCUGAUGCAGCAACGCCGCGUGCGGGAUGACGGCCUUCGGGUUGUAAACCGCUUUCGCCUGUGACGAAGCGUGAGUGACGGUAAUGGGUAAAGAAGCACCGGCUAACUACGUG
This 468-nucleotide ribosomal RNA is filed under the name uncultured bacterium. Its description in RNAcentral is "partial 16S ribosomal RNA". It matches the Rfam family "Bacterial small subunit ribosomal RNA", at positions 28 to 507 of the family's 1533-position model. The record is from RNAcentral.